GUAGUCCACGCCCUAAACGAUGUCAACUGGUUGUUGGGAAUUUAUUUUCUCAGUAACGAAGCUAACGCGUGAAGUUGACCGCCUGGGGAGUACGGCCGCAAGGUUAAAACUCAAAGGAAUUGACGGGGACCCGCACAAGCGGUGGAUGAUGUUCUUUAAUUCGAUGCAACGCGAAAAACCUUACCCACCUUUGACAUGUAUGGAAUCCUUUAGAGAUGAAGGAGUGCUCGAAAGAGAGCCAUAACACAGGUGCUGCAUGGCUGUCGUCAGCUCGUGUCGUGAGAUGUUGGGUUAAGUCCCGCAACGAGCGCAACCCUUGCCAUUAGUUGCUACGAAAGGGCACUCUAAUGGGACUGCCGGUGACAAACCGGA
RNAcentral lists this ribosomal RNA (372 nucleotides) under uncultured bacterium. RNAcentral's name for it is "bacterial SSU rRNA". It matches the Rfam family "Bacterial small subunit ribosomal RNA", at positions 790 to 1167 of the family's 1533-position model. The record is from RNAcentral.